RNAcentral lists this ribosomal RNA (130 nucleotides) under Escherichia coli. RNAcentral describes it as "partial 16S ribosomal RNA". It matches the Rfam family "Bacterial small subunit ribosomal RNA", at positions 1 to 123 of the family's 1533-position model. Lineage: Bacteria; Pseudomonadati; Pseudomonadota; Gammaproteobacteria; Enterobacterales; Enterobacteriaceae. The record is from RNAcentral.
AAAUUGAAGAGUUUGAUCAUGGCUCAGAUUGAACGCUGGCGGCAGGCCUAACACAUGCAAGUCGAACGGUAACAGGAAGAGGCUUGCUUCUUUGCUGACGAGUGGCGGACGGGUGAGUAAUGUCUGGGAA